RNAcentral lists this ribosomal RNA (253 nucleotides) under uncultured bacterium. RNAcentral describes it as "partial 16S ribosomal RNA". It matches the Rfam family "Bacterial small subunit ribosomal RNA", at positions 524 to 776 of the family's 1533-position model. The record is from RNAcentral.
UACGGAGGGUGCGAGCGUUGUCCGGAUUUAUUGGGCGUAAAGAGCUCGUAGGCGGCUUGUCGCGUCGUCCGUGAAAACCUGGGGCUCAACCCCAGGCUUGCGGUCGAUACGGGCAGGCUCGAGUUCGGUAGGGGAGACUGGAAUUCCUGGUGUAGCGGUGAAAUGCGCAGAUAUCAGGAGGAACACCGGUGGCGAAGGCGGAUCUCUGGGCCGAUACUGACGCUGAGGAGCGAAAGCGUGGGGAGCGAACAGG